This 1014-nucleotide ribosomal RNA is filed under the name Triticum aestivum (bread wheat). RNAcentral's name for it is "partial small subunit ribosomal RNA". Lineage: Eukaryota; Viridiplantae; Streptophyta; Magnoliopsida; Poales; Poaceae. The record is from RNAcentral.
AUGUACAGUCUCUCCGAACGGAAGGCCUACUCCAUGCCUCUCCCUGAACCUCCCAUCAGCAACUGGAUUGGCUCAUCACACGGAUGGCUAGUCACCAUGGAUGAAAAAUCUGACCUGAUGCUGCUCAACCCUAUCACCGGUGACAAGAUUGCACUCCCUCCCGUGACAACCAUGGAGCAUGUCAAACCUGUCCUAAACGGCGAUGGGGUUCUUGAAAAGUACGAGGUGUCUUUCUACCACGGAAAGCUUCCGAGGGUGUACAGUACACCAUAUGGAUGUUCUUUGGAUAGGUGCGGUGAAGUUGUCUACAUAAAGGCGAUUUUAUCGUCUGAUCCAUCAACAGGUGAAUGCAUUGUCAUGCUCAUCCAUCAGCCGUACUGGCAGCUCUCGUUCGCCAAAGUGGGAGAUGCUCGGUGGAACUGGCUCCAAAUGCAUAGUUUCUACGCAGAUUGCAUAUACCAUGAUGGCUGUUUCUAUGCAGUGACUGAAGAAGGCGCGAUCGAUAUGUACAAUCUGGAUGGACCAUCCGUCAUCCACAGAAGGAUUUUACCAGAUAUGGUUGACGUGGCCCAGAGGUACUACAUUCUUCAGGCACCAUGGGGAGAUUUUCUCCAAAUCUACAAGGAGAGGGACUGGGAUCCUGAACAACCGGUUGGUGAGACGUAUGCAACCGCUUUCGAAGUGUACAAGGUUGAUUUUGUCGAGCAAAAGCGUGUUAAGAUGGCAGGGAUAGGUGACUGUGCGUUGUUUACUGGGAAACGCACGACAUCUUGCUUUAGCGUGAAAGAUCAUCCAGGCUUGAUGUCAAACCAUGUAUAUUAUACUCAUGAUGAUCAUGAAGAUUUAUUCGACUGCGAAGAUGAUCCCCGUGACAUAGGGGUGUACGACUUGGAGAACAAUAGCAGGACCAGGUUGGUUGAUCCUGAACCCUGGAGGACGUGGUUCCCUCCCAUAUGGUUCACACCCAACCUUGCAAAAGCAGGAUUUCCAGAUGACAAUGGUGGGGCGCAAUAG